Molecule: ribosomal RNA, 479 nt
Filed under: uncultured bacterium
Lineage: Bacteria
Description: partial 16S ribosomal RNA
Rfam family: Bacterial small subunit ribosomal RNA
Source: RNAcentral
GAUGAACGCUAGCGGGAGGCCUAACACAUGCAAGCCGAGCGGUAGAGUUUCUUCGGAAACUUGAGAGCGGCGCACGGGUGCGUAACACGUGUGCAACCUACCUUUAUCUGGGGGAUAGCCUUUCGAAAGGAAGAUUAAUACCCCAUAAUAUAAUGAUUGGCAUCAAUUAUUAUUGAAAACUCCGGUGGAUAGAGAUGGGCACGCGCAAGAUUAGAUAGUUGGUGAGGUAACGGCUCACCAAGUCAAUGAUCUUUAGGGGUCCUGAGAGGGAGAUCCCCCACACUGGUACUGAGACACGGACCAGACUCCUACGGGAGGCAGCAGUGAGGAAUAUUGGACAAUGGGUGAGAGCCUGAUCCAGCCAUCCCGCGUGAAGGAUGACGGUCCUAUGGAUUGUAAACUUCUUUUGUACAGGGAUAAACCCACCCUCGUGAGGGUAGCUGAAGGUACUGUACGAAUAAGCACCGGCUAACUCCGUG